Long non-coding RNA from Pan troglodytes (chimpanzee), 1198 nucleotides. RefSeq lists it as uncharacterized. The record is from RefSeq and is a predicted model, not a curated record. The transcript is spliced from 2 exons. Lineage: Eukaryota; Metazoa; Chordata; Mammalia; Primates; Hominidae.
AUAAUUUAUUUAGUCCUACCCAGGGAGUUGACCAGAACCAACAUGGAACCACCCUAACUUGCUUCAGACUCCAUUGCUAGAUCAAUCCUGAUUUCUAGAUCAUAGCAUCUAAUCUUUGCCUUGCCUCUGGAUUACAAGGGUGGAACCAAGCAGAGGGGUUCACCCAAGCCAUCCUUGGGUGCUUCCAUGGGAAAGAAGGAUUUCACUGAGAAUAAUAAGUGACACCAAGGCUCAAAAGAAUGAGAGAGAAGUCUGUUGGUCUCUUGAACAGCAGGGAUUUGCUCACACAUCUCUGGAAGUAGCCAGAAUGUGACAGGAUCUCAAAAUGAAUGGCUGCUUCAUGGAGGCUGGAACAUAAGCCUGGGACUCCCAGUAGCCAAACAUAGCUGUGCCACAAACAUGGCUGAAAUGUAGCAGUUUGGUGGAUCCGAGGUCAGUCAUUGAAAAUGUAUUGAUUGGCACCUAUUCGUUGUCAAUCAUUAUUCUGGGUUCUGGGGUCACAGGAGCAAAUGAAACAAAUGAAGUACCUGCCAUCAAUGAGCUUACAUUCUAGUAAAGAGGGACAGAAAAUGAAUACAUUUUAAAUGAAUAAAUUCAGAUACCGCUAAAUGUAGUGAAGAAAAAAAUUGGGCUAAAGAGAGCGAAAAACAAUUUCUGAAGUUACUAGCAGUAAAGGGUGGGGGAAGAGAAGAGAUGGAUUUAACCAGGAAAGAUCUGAGCUGAGGGUGUAUCCAGGUUUUCUGGAACCUGAUAUUAUUACAGUUUAGAGAUUCUUCUUCAAGAAAAAGACUUUAAAAUUACAAAUGAUUAACUUCAGGGCCUUAGAAGGGGUCCACUCAAGUGAGCAGAAAAUUAUGUGCUCCUUAUAAAAUAUAUGAUUUAAAACUACAACAGUGGCUGGCCGUGGUGGCGCAUGCCUGUAAUCCCAGCACUUUGGGAGGCUGAGGCAGGUGGAUCGCGAAGUAAAGAGAUCGAGACCAACCUGGCCAACAUGGUGAAACCCCGUCUCUACUAAAAAUACAAAAAUCAGCUGGGCGUGGUGGUGUGUGCCUGGUGUCCCAGCUACUUGGGAGGCAGAGGCAGGAGAAUCGCUUGAACCUGGGAGGUGGAGGUUGCAGUGAGCCGAGAUUGUGCCACUGCACUCCAGCCUGGCGACAGAGUGAGACUGUCUCAAAAAAAAAAAAAAAAAAAACUAUAA